UACGGGGGGUGCGAGCGUUGUCCGGAAUCACUGGGCGUAAAGGGCGCGUAGGUGGUCUUGUAAGUCGAUGGUGAAAGCCUGGGGCUCAACCCCAGGUCUGCCGUCGAUACUGUGAGACUCGAGUACUGUAGAGGCUGGUAGAAUGUCGGGUGUAGCGGUGGAAUGCGUAGAGAUCCGACAGAAGACCGGUGGCGAAGGCGGCCAGCUGGGCAGUAACUGACACUGAGGCGCGACAGCGUGGGGAGCAAACAGG
This 253-nucleotide unclassified non-coding RNA is filed under the name uncultured Gemmatimonadaceae bacterium. Its description in RNAcentral is "contains 16S-23S intergenic spacer region". It matches the Rfam family "Bacterial small subunit ribosomal RNA", at positions 524 to 776 of the family's 1533-position model. Lineage: Bacteria; Pseudomonadati; Gemmatimonadota; Gemmatimonadia; Gemmatimonadales; Gemmatimonadaceae. The record is from RNAcentral.